CAAGACCUUGCGCUAUGAGAUGAGCCGAAUUCGGAUUAGCUAGUUGGUGGGGUAAUGGCCUACCAAGGCGACGACCCGUAGCUGGUCUGAGAGGACGACCAGCCACACUGGGACUGAGGCACGGCCCAGACUCCUACGGGAGGCAGCAGUGGGGAAUAUUGGACAAUGGGGGCAACCCUGAUCCAGCGACGCCGCGUGUGUGAAGAAGGCCUGCGGGUUGUAAAGCACUUUUAGUGGGGAUGAAAAGCCGAGGGCUAAUACCUUUCUGUCUUGACCUAACCCAAAGAAAAAGCACCGGGGGGGUCUGUGCCAGCAGCCGCGGUAAUACAGAGGGUGCAAGCGUUAAUCGGAAUUACUGGGCGUAAAGCGUGCGUAGUCGGUUAUCUAAGUCGGGUGUGAAAUCCCCGGGCUCAACCUGGGAAUUGCAUUCGGUACUGGAUAGCUAGAGUUCGGCAGAGGGAAGUGGAAUUUCCCGGUGUAGCGGUGAAAUGCGUAGAUAUCGGAAGGAACAUCAGUGGCGAAAGCGACUUCCUGGACCAGAACUGACGAUCAGGCACGAAAGGCGUGGGGAGCAAAACAGGAUUAGAUACCCUGGUAUUCCACGCCAUAAACAAUGACAACUAGGACGGUUGGGAGGGUUUGGCCUUUCAGUGUCACAACUAACGCGUUA
RNAcentral lists this ribosomal RNA (670 nucleotides) under uncultured Pseudomonadota bacterium. RNAcentral's name for it is "bacterial SSU rRNA". It matches the Rfam family "Bacterial small subunit ribosomal RNA", at positions 207 to 862 of the family's 1533-position model. Lineage: Bacteria; Pseudomonadati; Pseudomonadota. The record is from RNAcentral.